AGUUCAGAUUGCAGGCUGCAACUCGCCUGCAUGAAGUCGGAAUUGCUAGUAAUCGCAGAUCAGCAUGCUGCGGUGAAUACGUUCCCGGGCCUUGUACACACCGCCCGUCACACCAUGGGAGUCGGUAACACCCGAAGUCGGUAGCCUAACCGUAAGGAGGGCGCCGCCGAAGGUGGGAUUGAUGACUGGGGUGAAGUCGUAACAAGGUAAC
RNAcentral lists this ribosomal RNA (211 nucleotides) under uncultured bacterium. RNAcentral describes it as "partial 16S ribosomal RNA". It matches the Rfam family "Bacterial small subunit ribosomal RNA", at positions 1290 to 1500 of the family's 1533-position model. The record is from RNAcentral.